This 162-nucleotide ribosomal RNA is filed under the name Aporostylis bifolia. Its description in RNAcentral is "5.8S ribosomal RNA". It matches the Rfam family "5.8S ribosomal RNA". From Rfam's summary of the family: 5.8S ribosomal RNA (5.8S rRNA) is a component of the large subunit of the eukaryotic ribosome. It is transcribed by RNA polymerase I as part of the 45S precursor that also contains 18S and 28S rRNA. Lineage: Eukaryota; Viridiplantae; Streptophyta; Magnoliopsida; Asparagales; Orchidaceae. The record is from RNAcentral.
UAGGACUCUCAACAAUGGAUAUCUCUGCUCUUGCAUCGAUGAAGAACGCAACUAAAUGCGAUACGUGGUGCGAAUUGCAGAAUCCCGUGAACCAUCGAGUUUUUGAUCGCAAGUUGCGCCUGAGGCCAUCUGGCCAAGGGCACGUUCGCCUGGGCAUCAUGC